Cinara cedri is the source of this 362-nucleotide non-coding RNA. Lineage: Eukaryota; Metazoa; Arthropoda; Insecta; Hemiptera; Aphididae. The record is from the annotation of a GenBank genome assembly.
AAACAGUGUAUCUUGAGAACAAAUUUAAAUUUUAGUCUCUUGUGAAAAAAGUCAAGGUUCUUUAUGUUUGGUGUUAAGCUCAUCAAUUUAAUCUAAUUAUUGUUAGAUGCUAUUAGUAGCUGUAUACAAACACUUUUGAUCCAUUCAAAUAUCUAAAACUUAAAAAUAAAUUAUAUCUACUUAUUCGAAAAUACAAUUCUGAAGAUCCAAUUUUUUUUUUUAGUAACCAUUUUGAUAAGUUAUUUUUAUAUAAAGUAUUAUGAUUAAAUUGACAUCCUAGGAUAAUGGAGACAAAUCCAGCCACUGUUAUAGGUAAUUUAAUGUUUAUCUGUAAGCAACGAUAAACCAUUGCUAACAAAAAA